RNAcentral lists this ribosomal RNA (797 nucleotides) under uncultured Bacteroidota bacterium. RNAcentral describes it as "bacterial SSU rRNA". It matches the Rfam family "Bacterial small subunit ribosomal RNA", at positions 1 to 799 of the family's 1533-position model. Lineage: Bacteria; Pseudomonadati; Bacteroidota. The record is from RNAcentral.
AGGGAGUUUGAUCCUGGCUCAGGAUGAACGCUAGCGGCAGGCUUAACACAUGCAAGUCGAGGGGCAGCGGGUGUAGCAAUACAUGCCGGCGACCGGCGCAAGGGUGCGUAACGCGUGAGCAAUCUGCCCGUAUCAGGGGGAUAAGCGAUGGAAACGUCCUCUAAUACCGCAUAACACCAAUGAUGGCAUCAUCGAUGGUUGAAAGCUUCGGUGGAUACGGAUGAGCUCGCGAGACAUUAGUUAGUUGGCGGGGUAACGGCCCACCAAGACCGCGAUGUCUAGGGGAACUGAGAGGUUGGUCCCCCACACUGGAACUGAGACACGGUCCAGACUCCUACGGGAGGCAGCAGUGAGGAAUAUUGGACAAUGGCCGGAAGGCUGAUCCAGCCAUGCCGCGUGAAGGAAUAAGGUCCUAUGGAUUGUAAACUUCUUUUGUACGAGAGCAAUAAGUGUCACGAGUGACACGAUGAGAGUAUCGUACGAAUAAGCAUCGGCUAACUCCGUGCCAGCAGCCGCGGUAAUACGGAGGAUGCGAGCGUUAUCCGGAUUUAUUGGGUUUAAAGGGUGCGUAGGCGGGAUUUUAAGUCAGCGGUGAAACGCAAGGGCUCAACCCUUGACCUGCCGUUGAAACUGGAGUUCUUGAAUGCGGAUGCUGUGGGAGGAAUGUGUGGUGUAGCGGUGAAAUGCAUAGAUAUCACACAGAACACCGAUUGCGAAGGCAUCUCACAAAUCCGUGAUUGACGCUGAGGCACGAAAGUGUGGGGAUCAAACAGGAUUAGAUACCCUGGUAGUCCCCU